UACGAACUGUGCGAACGUUAUUCGGAAUCACUGGGCUUACAGGGUGCGUAGGCGGCCUGACAAGUAGGGUGUGAAAGCCCCCGGCUCAACCGGGGAAUGGCGCCCUAAACUGUCGGGCUGGAGUGAGAUAGGGGUGUGCGGAACUUCCGGUGGAGCGGUGAAAUGUGUUGAUAUCGGAAGGAACGCCGGUGGCGAAAGCGGCACACUGGAUCUCAACUGACGCUGAGGCACGAAAGCCAGGGGAGCGAACGGG
This 253-nucleotide ribosomal RNA is filed under the name uncultured bacterium. Its description in RNAcentral is "partial 16S ribosomal RNA". It matches the Rfam family "Bacterial small subunit ribosomal RNA", at positions 524 to 776 of the family's 1533-position model. The record is from RNAcentral.